UACGUAGGGGGCAAGCGUUAUCCGGAAUUACUGGGCGUAAAGGGUGCGUAGGCGGUCUUACAAGUCAGAAGUGAAAGGCUACGGCUCAACCGUAGUAAGCUUUUGAAACUGUUAGACUUGAGUGCAGGAGAGGAGAGUGGAAUUCCUAGUGUAGCGGUGAAAUGCGUAGAUAUUAGGAGGAACACCAGUUGCGAAGGCGGCUCUCUGGACUGUAACUGACGCUGAGGCACGAAAGCGUGGGGAGC
RNAcentral lists this ribosomal RNA (245 nucleotides) under uncultured bacterium. RNAcentral describes it as "partial 16S ribosomal RNA". It matches the Rfam family "Bacterial small subunit ribosomal RNA", at positions 524 to 769 of the family's 1533-position model. The record is from RNAcentral.